RNAcentral lists this ribosomal RNA (460 nucleotides) under uncultured bacterium. RNAcentral's name for it is "partial 16S ribosomal RNA". It matches the Rfam family "Bacterial small subunit ribosomal RNA", at positions 338 to 795 of the family's 1533-position model. The record is from RNAcentral.
CCUACGGGGGGCAGCAGUGAGGAAUAUUGGUCAAUGGGCGCGAGCCUGAACCAGCCACGCAGCGUGAAGGAUGACUGCUCUCCGGGUUGUAAACUCUUUUUAUAAAGGAAUAAAGUGAGGCACGUGUGCCUUUUUGUAUGUACUUUAUGAAUAAGGAUCGGCUAACUCCGUGCCAGCAGCCGCGGUAAUACGGAGGAUCCGAGCGUUAGCCGGAUUUAUUGGGUUUAAAGGGAGCGUAGAUGGGUUGUUAAGUCAGUUGUGAAAGUUUGCGACUCAACCGUAAAAUUGCAAUUGAUACUGGCAGCCUUGAGUACAGUUGAGGUAGGCGGAAUUCGUGGUGUAGCGGUGAAAUGCUUAGAUAUCACGAAGAACUCCGAUUGCGAAGGCAGCUUACUAAACUGCCACUGACAUUGAUGCUCGAAAGUGUGGGUAUCAAACAGGAUUAGAUACCCUAGUAGUC